This 497-nucleotide ribosomal RNA is filed under the name uncultured bacterium. RNAcentral's name for it is "partial 16S ribosomal RNA". It matches the Rfam family "Bacterial small subunit ribosomal RNA", at positions 28 to 507 of the family's 1533-position model. The record is from RNAcentral.
GACGAACGCUGGCGGCGUGCCUAAUACAUGCAAGUCGAACGCUGAAGAGAGGAGCUUGCUCUUCUUGGAUGAGUUGCGAACGGGUGAGUAACGCGUAGGUAACCUGCCUUGUAGCGGGGGAUAACUAUUGGAAACGAUAGCUAAUACCGCAUAACAAUGGAUGACACAUGUCAUUUAUUUGAAAGGGGCAAUUGCUCCACUACAAGAUGGACCUGCGUUGUAUUAGCUAGUAGGUGAGGUAAUGGCUCACCUAGGCGACGAUACAUAGCCGACCUGAGAGGGUGAUCGGCCACACUGGGACUGAGACACGGCCCAGACUCCUACGGGAGGCAGCAGUAGGGAAUCUUCGGCAAUGGGGGCAACCCUGACCGAGCAACGCCGCGUGAGUGAAGAAGGGUUUCGGAUCGUAAAGGUCUGUUGUAAGUCAAGAACGGGUGUGAGAGUGGAAAGUUCACACUGUGACGGUAGCUUACCAGAAAGGGACGGCUAACUACGUG